This 172-nucleotide small RNA is filed under the name Gopherus agassizii (Agassiz's desert tortoise). Its description in RNAcentral is "TUC338 (ENSGAGG00000006137.1)". Lineage: Eukaryota; Metazoa; Chordata; Testudines; Testudinidae. The record is from RNAcentral.
UUGGAAAUUGAAGUCUUUUGUCUCAUCCACAAAAUAGGUACAGCAUGGGCAGCAAAAGUGAAAACGUUUCCCACAAUGUCCUGUCAGUAUUCCUCAACUUGGAGGGAGCCAUUUCCAGAGUUCUUGGCCUCUUGGUUGAGAUUGCUUAUAAAUGUGUUAAUUAUUGUCAGUG